Long non-coding RNA from Cephus cinctus (wheat stem sawfly), 4248 nucleotides. RefSeq lists it as uncharacterized. NCBI's taxonomy places the organism in Eukaryota, Metazoa, Arthropoda, Insecta, Hymenoptera, Cephidae. The transcript has 9 exons. The record is from RefSeq and is a predicted model, not a curated record.
CGCAUGGGCAGUCUCGAGCAGACGAGGUUACGUACGCUCGAGCAGGAAACGUCGCGCGGUCGCUCGUCAGGGUUAGGAUUCGAGGUUUGCAGCACCUGCAGAAACUUAAGGCACCGUCUCUAGAAAUCAUUUAUGUCGCCGCGGGCGUGGAACGAUUAUUUGUAUCGGUAUCACGUGGAGGGCGCACGCAGUCGAGGUCACACCAGUUCUCACUGUCAGUGAAAGUACAAGCGAUCGCAUCUCCAGAGUGAAUUCGCCGGGCGCACCUUAAACUCUUCUUAUUCCAGAAUCGAAUGGAUAUCUGGAAGCUUCUUUUAUGCCCUAUGAGCACAUAAUGUCGUAACUGUCAAAUGUGCAUAUGCAUAUGUAUCAAUGGAAAAUAGUAUGCACUGCCAUUACGUUUUGUAUGGAAAUUGAAAGUUAGCAGAUUACCUAUUCUACCGAUCCAUGCUAUAUACACAGUGAUGCGUUAAACACGCCUGUUGGGCAUUUGUACUGGGUUUUCACUAAGUUGCUGUAUACACAAAAAUAAUUUAUAAUACCCAAGUAAAUACAAUUCCUUGUUAUAAAGGAAUAGCAGUAGAUUUUAUGGAACAUGAUUAAAGUUUCGUAACUAACGUCAGUAACUUCGACGGCGUGACGAGUUCUUCGUUAGGAAGGAAGUUUAAAAAAUAUUCAGAAAAUACAUGUUAAUGUAAAUGUGGAUCAAGAUGGGCAAGGGGAACGGUGGCAAGGGGCGAGGGAGAUCCCAAGCUCAGCCUGGAGCUAAAGGCUCGAAUGAAAAGUACAUUUCGAGGUUGACGGGCUAAAAAAGUUGAGCAGUUCUCUGGGGAAUCGGGACGAUGGAGACGAACGGUCUGGUAAAUUCGCCAACCAGAUGCUGACUGCGGUGAGCAAUCAUAAAAUACAAAAGUUGCCAAUCCAUUCAGCGUUUGCUCACCAAGACCAAUACAAUUCGCUCAUGGAUCUUCGAAUCGUCCAUUCAUUGGUCUCCUUCUCCCGGCGUAGUAUUCGCACGCUAGCCGUGGGAGCGUAUUUCGCAAUCGUCGAGUUUGCAUUGUAAAUUUGCGGAAACAGGCACGUUCGACGAUAUUAAGCAAUAUUUUAUGCGCGAGGACAGUUUCGCAUGAGACUUUCCAUAUUGAGAUACAUCUUAAAAUUAACCUAUGAUACUAUUGGCAAAGUUGGUCAAACUUGUGUUUGUACGCUACAGAUGCAACUGUGAAUCCCAGUCUAAUUCAGCAACGGACGGUCGACCUCAUUUGCCUUCGUUGUGUUAAGCAGUGCAAGGAUAAGAGACAAAUAAAGAAUGGAAGCUGCGAAACGUCUGGGUCGGUGAGACCUCAGAGAGCGUGGCGAAUAAGUGAGGACACGAGAAGACGGAGGCAGUGCUGAUGGGCGUAAAAGGUGGGGACUGGCUGUUGCGGCACAACACAAGAGGACAGACAUAGAAAACGUGUAGAAGAGAUGUAGAUUUUUUUAAUAGUGUAGAUUUUUUUAAUACAAUCCAGCAAGAAGUCACACCAAUAAUUGCGACUAUCACAAAAACAUCAACAACAUCUCUAGUCAAUAUUGUUGCCAACAGUAGUGGCCAAAAUAGAAGCCUAGUGAUUUCACCAAUCACUAACGGAGAGAGUCUGGAUUACGAAAAGAUUUCUAUGCUGUCGUAAUAUAAACUAUUGACACGUGCACAAGCCAGGAAGUUGGACUAAGAAAUAAUUUGGAUUAAUUGUUAUUGAUGCUGCGCGAAUAUGAAUCCAAGGAAGGAGAAGGAAGACUUAACGCGGAUCUGUCUUGUAAUUUCGUCAGGGUCGGUAAGCUGAGGAUUUACGAACCCAACUUUGUGUUUCGGGGUCGCGACUCUCAUCCGGUCGAACCAGUCGGCACCUGGAGAUCUAACUGCCACCGUGAAAGCCAGAGAUGAAGAUGCAGAGUUACCGGCGAGCGUCUGGAGAGGAGCAGGUUAUCUCGGUCAUCCUUCGUUUCACAGCUGUCCUGACCCUGAUGCUUAUUAACCAGAAUCCACCUGGGUCUUCUUCCAAAGUGCACGUCAUCAUCCAUACUUUAUUAAGAUUGAGCAAUCAUUACUCGGCCGAAUGGACCGGUAGGUAAGGAAAGAUCAUGAAAUCAAUUUCCAAAUUUGGCCAAUGAUCUCGACAGAGUUGGACACGUGUAAUUAUAAUGGACUUUCAUAGCUGUACCUUUUUUCUUUCAGACAACUCUCGAAGUCAUUGUCACUGGGGAAAUUACGUGUGAGAGACUCUUUUUUUUCUUUAUGGAGUUUCAAAAGUCUUUCGUCCUCCGCUUGGAAAUGCAUGUGCCCGUUAUAUCAUACUAACAGAGUCAGUCGGUAACUCGGCGAAUGAAAAUAUCGCCCUUCUUUUGCGACUGGCUAGGUAUGCCUAAUGUAGGAUCUAGUUACCAGGAGAUCCCUUUUAAUACAUUACCUCCGGGCCUGGUUUAAUGACGCUUGGGUAACAACACGCUCUCCUAAUGCGUUCAUUAUCUCUUUACGUGCUACGUUCAGUAUCCAAACUCCGCACCUUUCCAGGAGUAUAGGCGGCUACGUAAUAACGUUAACACUGUACGGGUCCGAGCUGUGUUUAUGUAGUUGUAUGCGCGGAAAUAGUAGUAUAGUAUACAUGGGAAUAGUAUGGUCCCAAUUCGUCUACCAAUAACUAUGACUUAGUAGCUGAUACCGUGGGGAACCUCCUGUCAUAGCCAUUAAGUCCGGUUUCUAUUUUCUAAUGAAAAAUAAUAUAAGACAAAUCACGCCUGGAUUACACAUACAAGGUUGUAGGAUUGUAAUCGUUAUUGAGGAAUAGAAAAAUUCUGGAAUUUCUUAGUAUUCGAAUUUUUGAAAAGACAUUGGGUGACAGUAAUUAAUUAAAAGAGAGAAUCGAUUAUGCCGGUUACAUUGAACGAGUCGUAGAAGCGUCAGAUCUUUAUGCGAAAGACAUAUCUUAGGAUGUUCCUUAAUGUACUUACUCGUUGGUCGUUUUGGCGAAUCUGUAUUUAACAUCUCUUUGGGUUUUUUUUUUUUUUUCAAAAUUAAUUUCACUCCUCUCAGCGACGUUCCCUUCUACGUCUUUGUCACUGGCCGAUGUGUUUAACUCUUCUUUUUUCGCGUUCUUAUUUCUUGUCUCUCAAGGCAGUUCGACGCACGAGAAACUUCCGUCCUUCGCGGGGUUAUGGUUCAGGACGAUGGACGGGCUCGGUAAGUUUGUCAUUUGACAUUAGUCGUGUCUCUCAGUCCAUCCCUCUGAUGUCUUGUGUCCCUCUUUAUAUUUUAACCUCUCUCUUGUGCUUAAGCGUAAAAAAGAAAGUUUCUCAAGUAGAAAAUAUCGUAAUCCUCGAAACUUUUUUACCCCACGACAUCCCAUUGCCGCUGGGCUUCCAUUUUCUUACGCUCGACUCCUUCUGCUGAAUUCUCGACACGAGUUACGCAUAACAAACUUAUUGAUUCGAGCAAGAGUCUUCGGGCGAACUUAGAGGAACAAUAAAGAUGGGAUAAAAUUUACUGUAAAUCUAUUGGUAUAUACCGUAGUCUAUGUAUAAAGUCGAAUAUUCGAAAGAGAAAUACGCAGAAAGUGUAUCGUUCGGUUAAGGUUAUAUUGUGAUAAUUGUAUUAUCGUACCAUGAUGCACUUACCAAUGACGUUACACUGUAGACAAUUGGGAUCAUUAAGAAAGGAAUUUAAGUAAUUUUCUAUCAAAACAAUACUUUCCGAGGUUUUCGAGUUACUUGGUGCAUUAUACAAUGCGAUAUUGAAAUUAUUGUUAAUUGAAAUAUUUGAUUAACAGAAAGUCGUGAGAAUUUAUUCGUCAUCGUGAUGACGAAUUGUCAAUUAUUAAAAAUAUUCCAGUUCACCUGUCCUCCAUGUUUUGUAAUUCAAAGAAUGUAACAAGGCAGUCGAUUCUAUUGUUUUCAUUUUACCUAGCGCUCGAGGACUUUUAUGAAUUAUUACGUGCUUUGAUUAACCGUCUCUACCAGCGUAAGUUUAUUCAAUCCUUUUUCAAAUGUGUCUAGUGAAUACCAUCAGAGCGAAGAAAGGAAGGAAGGAUAAUUGCAAGUGGAGAUACGAACUUCUCCUUGAGAUUCUUUACCGGCAGUACGUGCUGCAAUGUAAAUCAGCCUAAAGGUAUCCAAACGUGGCUAAAACAUCGGCAAACCGUUUUACUUGGAAUCGUAAAUCGGAAAUUCUGGCCAGGCAUAUUUCGAAGUACUGGAAGUUGCCCAAAAUUGUGU